Molecule: transfer RNA, 75 nt
Filed under: Lysobacteraceae bacterium
Lineage: Bacteria; Pseudomonadati; Pseudomonadota; Gammaproteobacteria; Lysobacterales; Lysobacteraceae
Also listed under: 1 other name
Description: tRNA-Lys
Rfam family: tRNA
About the family: Transfer RNA (tRNA) molecules are approximately 80 nucleotides in length. Their secondary structure includes four short double-helical elements and three loops (D, anti-codon, and T loops).
Source: RNAcentral
GGGCUGCUAGCUCAGGGGUAGAGCAGUUGGCUUUUAACCAAUUGGUCGAAGGUUCAAAUCCUUCGCAGCCCACCA